This 643-nucleotide ribosomal RNA is filed under the name uncultured Actinomycetes bacterium. Its description in RNAcentral is "bacterial SSU rRNA". It matches the Rfam family "Bacterial small subunit ribosomal RNA", at positions 232 to 885 of the family's 1533-position model. Lineage: Bacteria; Bacillati; Actinomycetota; Actinomycetes. The record is from RNAcentral.
CGCGGCCUAUCAGCUUGUUGGCGAGGUAACGGCUCACCAAGGCGACGACGGGUAGCUGUUCUGAGAGGAAGAUCAGCCACACUGGGACUGAGACACGGCCCAGACUCCUACGGGAGGCAGCAGUGGGGAAUCUUGCGCAAUGGGCGAAAGCCUGACGCAGCAACGCCGCGUGGGGGAUGACGGCCUUCGGGUUGUAAACCUCUUUCAGCAGGGACGAAGCGAAAUUGACGGUACCUCCAGAAGAAGCCCCGGCCAACUACGUGCCAGCAGCCGCGGUAAUACGUAGGGCGCAAGCGUUAUCCGGAAUUAUUGGGCGUAAAGAGCUCGUAGGCGGUUUGUCGCGUCUGCCGUGAAAGUCCGGGGCUCAACUCCGGAUCUGCGGUGGGUACGGGCAGACUAGAGUGAUGUAGGGGAGACUGGAAUUCCUGGUGUAGCGGUGAAAUACGCAGAUAUCAGGAGGAACACCGACGGCGAAGGCAGGUCUCUGGGCAUUAACUGACGCUGAGGAGCGAAAGCAUGGGUAGCGAACAGGAUUAGAUACCCUGGUAGUCAACGCCGUAAACGGUGGGCACUAGGUGUGGGCAACAUUCCACGUUGUCCGUGCCGCAGCUAACGCAUUAAGUGCCCCGCCUGGGGAGUACGG